UGUAGCAAUACAAGGCAGACGGCUCAGUAACGCGUAGUCAACCUACCCUAUGGACGGGAAUAACCUCGGGAAACUGAGUAUAAUGCCCGAUAGAACACUAUACCUGGAAUGGUUUGUGUUCCAAAUGAUUUAUCGCCAUAGGAUGGGACUGCGGCCUAUCAGUUUGUUGGUGAGGUAAUGGCCCACCAAGACUAUUACAGGUACGGGCUCUGAGAGGAGUGGCCCGGAGAUGGGUACUGAGACACGGACCCAGGCCCUAUGGGGCGCAGCAGGCGAGAAAACUUUGCAAUGUGCGAAAGCACGACAAGGUUAAUCCGAGUGGUUUCUGCUAAAGGAACCUUUUGUCAGUCCUAGAAACACUAACGAAUAAGGGGUGGGCAAGUUCUGGUGUCAGCCGCCGCGGUAAAACCAGCACCUCAAGUGGUCAGGAUGAUUAUUGGGCCUAAAGCAUCCGUAGCCGGCUCUGUAAGUUUUCGGUUAAAUCUGUACGCUUAACGUACAGGCUGCCGGGAAUACUGCAGAGCUAGGGAGUGGGAGAGGUAGACGGUACUCGGUAGGAAGGGGUAAAAUCCUUUGAUCUAUUGAUGACCACCUGUGGCGAAGGCGGUCUACCAGAACACGUCCGACGGUGAGGGAUGAAAGCUGGGGGAGCAAACCGGAUUAGAUACCCGGGUAGUCCCAGCUGUAAACUAUGCAAACUCAGUGAUGCAUUGGCUUGUGGCCAAUGCAGUGCUGCAGGGAAGCCGUUAAGUUUGCCGCCUGGGAAGUACGUACGCAAGUAUGAAACUUAAAGGAAUUGGCGGGGGAGCACCACAAGGGGUGAAGCCUGCGGUUCAAUUGGA
Molecule: ribosomal RNA, 842 nt
Filed under: uncultured archaeon
Lineage: Archaea
Description: bacterial SSU rRNA
Rfam family: Archaeal small subunit ribosomal RNA
Source: RNAcentral